AACCACGCUUACUGUUACAGUGUGUAUUCAGGAGGACCCAGGAGCAGGACACGGAGGCAGUGGUAAAAGGCAUUUGUACUGAAUGGCGUGCAACAGUGCGUGGAUGUUAUGCAUCGCUUGUAAAAAGGACUGCAUCUACAUGGCCGCUGGAGGGUUGAGACGCAGAAAGUGCAGUGGAGACACCGGGGAUGGGCGCAUUCAUCUCCUGCUCGGCUGCAGCACCACGGACCCCGCUGGAACACACAGCCACUAAAAA
Molecule: long non-coding RNA, 256 nt
Organism: Micropterus dolomieu (smallmouth bass)
Lineage: Eukaryota; Metazoa; Chordata; Actinopteri; Centrarchiformes; Centrarchidae
Exons: 3
Source: RefSeq, a predicted model, not a curated record